RNAcentral lists this long non-coding RNA (3569 nucleotides) under Pelobates cultripes (western spadefoot toad). The record is from RNAcentral. Lineage: Eukaryota; Metazoa; Chordata; Amphibia; Anura; Pelobatidae.
ACUCAGUGAAAGGGUUAAUGUUGUAAUGGACUCUAAUCCCCUCGGUUCUCGAUCCCUCGGUCACCAUAAUCAACGUUGAUGGAGAGUCAUUUGUAAGCAAUAACACACGGACAACAGCUUUACAAGACUCUCAAAUGAGUGUAUUCCAGAGCUGGCUUUUAUACAUAGUUUGCUUACAUUAGCCAUGGUAUAUGCAAAUACAGUACAGACUAUAAGAUUUAUUACUUCCUUAUAUUACGUUAUUCUGACAAUGGAAAGAUAAGCUUUUGCAUACGUCUGGGAAAGAAUAUCCUUAAAAUCGGAAUGGGCAAGACAUCCUGAAAUUUAGCAUUGUCUUACAUCCUAUAGAAGAAAUACCUUAGUCUGUCACAGUCAGCAUAUUAUGUACAAUAUCCCUUCAGUCAGCAAUAAUCAUGUUAUAAACCUUAUAAAAGCAUAAAAUACAUAUAAACAAGUUAACUAUUUAAUAUUCUUACAUUCCCCUCUUUGAGCAAUAAAACAAUUGCUCAUCUUAUCGAUAAAAUCUUACCAGGACAGAGAAACUUCCACAUGGUAUUUUCAGGGGUGCUAGUCACUCCCUGCGGGACUUUCAUUAAUUUCUUCACCUCGAUUCCCAUGUGGUAAUUCCUAAGGCCUAGUUUAAAGAUGGGUUGAUACUCUACAGUGGCAGAGAGGAGAAUUUCUAAUUGUUUCUGUUCUGCAUUAUGGAUUCAUUUCUGUACUCUCUUCCUCAAUGUACAAGUAAGGUGACAGUUAUAUAAAAUCAUACACAAUAAAAUCAGGACUAUAAUAACAAAAUGAUAGAAGAAUGAUUUCAUUAUCUGAGAUCCAGUAGGGGACCAACCAGUGAAGCAUCGUACCAAUGAUGGGCUAAAUCAUUCUGAAUUUGUGAACUCACCUUAAGGAGUUCUCCUUUUAGGAUAUGUGUGGCUACCUGUGUGUGUUAUCUUUGGGAAAAAUAUAGUCCCCUGUGUAUGUGGGUGCCCACCAGGUUAAAUUCUUGGCAAAAAGAUCAUAAACUGGUACUGGUAAUGUGUUAAAUUGACAAGCUAAUUUAACAUCCUUUGAUGAUGUAUGAUAUAAUGUAAAAUAGCAAGAGCAUGAAAAAAUGUGAAGCAUUACCAGUUAACCAUCCAUUGCAUUUAGUGGAUUGGGGUUUUAGAAGUAACCAUUCAUUAUCUGUGAGGUUAAGCAUCCCUCUAAUCUUCUCUAGUUUAGGAAUCAUUAGUGUGUUUUCUAAUGCCAAUCCUUGUUGUAUCCAUAAAUACCUGAUGGCACAAGUACUCCAGUUACUUAGACCUGUUGUGAAUUUCAUAGUUGCAACAGUUAAAUUGUCUAAAUAAUUAUACAUUGAUUUAUCUAAAUCCAAUCCUAUAACCUGUGAUUUAACAACAAUUGGAGCCCAAUUUGCAGUAGCAUGAAAACCAGUCCCUAUAUGCAUGCUGGCUGUGUUUAACUUAUUCUUGAGGGUCUCCAUAUCUAUAACUAUUUAGUAUACCCAUAGUGGUUCCAGCACCAUCUAACAGUGUGUCAUACCAUUCCCUUUUCUGCCUUUGUUUGUUGUAUUACAUAAUGUUACAACAAGAGUAGUGACUUUUAAUGACACAUGUACAGCUUGUAAGAAGGCAGUUGUAUUAAUAAAUGUGGACGGAAUAGGUGUGUGUGUGUGAGUCGUUGUUGACUUUUGGUUCUAUGGUAGAGAAUAAAGGACAGUAAUAAGGUGUAAAAAUAUAAGGUAGUGUAUAGUUCUCAAUUGUAGUGUCGUUCAUAAUGACUAACAUUUGUCCCCUUCUCCAAUUAAUGAUACCAGUUAUAUAAUCAUUAUUAAAAGUAAUAAGGCCUGUCUGUUUACAUUGAUAUGCAACCUUAACUGUGCACAUUUCUGCGUUAUAAGAUCUAACAAUUUUCUGUGAACCUUCAAACAAACAUAAUGCAUCGGUUUCAUUAGCUGUAGACACAUUUCAUAUGGGUAACUGGUACUUAUAAGGGUUACUAUUUGUCCAAUUCAUCCAGAUGCGUUCAGUGAAUGAAUGAUUGCAUAUUGCAUGCUGAUAGAAAGGUGGUGGAGAAAGGUUCUUGAGGGGGCGUGUGUGACGAAUGCUAGAUGAGGGGCUAAGGCCUAAUUGGGCUGGGGGUAUUGAAGAAUUGUUCAUCAUGUCAGAGUCUUUUUCCAGAACUUGCCAUUGACUUGUACUCAUAAUGGCAUUCAAGGAACAAUAUCAGAGGGAGUAUAACAACUCCAGAAAGCAUAGCACACAACAUAAUCUUGGUCUCAGGUACGUAUGAUCCUCUCAAUCUACGAUAUGGUGUAAAAGCCAUGAUGCUUCGCUGAGGAGAAAUUCUUCUGUUUCCGAGCGAGGAGUGGUGUUGUCUUCCUUGGUUCCCCUCUUUGGACACAGCUUCACUCGGGAUGCGUGAAUCCAGAUGUCAUGGGAAUCUGUGAGGACAGCGGUUAUGGGUACAGCAAUCACAGUAGCAGGUGGUCCAAAAGGGUAUCCUUCUUUCUUGGUCCUGUUCAGCUGACGGAUAUACACCUUGUCACCGGGCUGGUAUGAAUGAGUAGGUUCCUGUGAAGGUAAGGGAAAACUGCGAAGAAACAUUGUCAUACAUACCAUUCGGUUUUAUCAACAAUUCACCUUGUGGGGAUUCAUUCUUAUCUCAGCUAAAAUAGCUGGUAGAUAUCUUGUCCAAUUUACCCAUGUUCCUGGGUAAAUUCUGGGCUUUUCCUUAAUAGUCCUAUUCAUCCUUUCAACUACCCCUGUAUUCUGUGGAUGAUAGGGUAUAUGAAACUGCCAGGUAACUUGCAAGAAUUUAGCAAGUUCCUGGGCAACCUUACUUGCAAAAACCGGGCCAUUAUCAGAGCCAAUCUGCAGAGGGCAGCCAUACCUGGGAAUAAUUUCAGUAACAAUAAUCUUCACUAGCAUCUUCCCUAGAUAUCACAAAGGCCUCAUGCCAUCUACUAAACUGAUUAACUAUGACCAGUAAGUAUUGCUGUUUCUUACCAAUUUUGGAUACAUGAAUAAAAUCAAUCUGUAAGUGUGUAAAAAGAGCAGCGUUCACACGAUCUUACAAAAGACUGUACAUGCUGCCUGAGAUUCCUAAUAUAAAAUGAAUUCAUGAAGAAUUGAAUGGUGCUUGCUAUAUGCCUGACUGAUGAAAAUAAAUCAGCUUGCUUCAAGUAUGCCUAUUCUUCAAGUAUGCCUAUUCUCCCCUCUUUAGAGAACAGAUCAUUUUGAUCUUUCUCUAAACCUUGUUUAAUCCAAAAGACAGAUUCUGGGUAUUAAAAAAAUAAUCUCAUAACCACUGAAGCGCUGGGCUGUCAUGUGUUGUAUGGUGAUAUUUAUUAUCAGCUGAGUGACCUGGUGACUGGCAUGAAGUAUUGUAGGAUGCCCUAGUGUGAUAGUAGUAGCAGUUUCAACAGCCAUUGCACAUGCUAUCAAUGCUCUGAGACACGCCGGCAUACCCUGUACCGGAGCUUGAACUACUUUGGAAAAGAAUGCUAUGGGACGCAUACCGCCUCCUUGCUCUUGUGCACAGACCGCGGCCAUGGUUUUACAAUUAUCCCAAGC